Epinephelus lanceolatus (giant grouper) is the source of this 416-nucleotide non-coding RNA. Lineage: Eukaryota; Metazoa; Chordata; Actinopteri; Perciformes; Serranidae. The record is from RefSeq and is a predicted model, not a curated record.
CCGUCAGCACCCUGACAAGCCUGGUGGGUCGCCUGGUGGCGACCAUUGAGGGGGGGGUACUGUCAUGAGUCUGUGUUCCCAGUGUGUCUCCCCUCCCCCGUGUCUGUGUCUCCCUCUCUCCUAGGGGCGGGUCCAGCGAGCCAGCAGGUGUGCAGGCUACGCACCUGUUCCUCAUUCUCAUCAGUCUCAGUUAAAGCCCGGUCUCUCCAGCCACUCGUCGUCAGAUCGUCCAGUUUCCCACGCGGAAUCCUCCUCACUCACCUGCAUUCUGCCUGCGCCUGCUGGAUCCGCCCCCGUCCUUCACCGUGCCUCACCGUUGUGCCCCACCACCUCGUCUCUCCACCCUGCCUUCGCCCUGCCUCACUGCACUGCCUCGCCAUCCAGCCACAACAUUCAAUUAAAGCACCUUUAACUGA